GGAGUUAACUGCUUCAGUUUGAAAUGG
RNAcentral lists this non-coding RNA (27 nucleotides) under Rattus norvegicus (Norway rat). Lineage: Eukaryota; Metazoa; Chordata; Mammalia; Rodentia; Muridae. The record is from RNAcentral.